Molecule: long non-coding RNA, 1029 nt
Organism: Cyprinodon tularosa
Lineage: Eukaryota; Metazoa; Chordata; Actinopteri; Cyprinodontiformes; Cyprinodontidae
Exons: 2
Source: RefSeq, a predicted model, not a curated record
GGCAGUUGCCGCUCUCCUCCAGCGGUAUUGCUGCAACUCUCCCAGCCGGGUCGUAGAGGGAGCUCUCUGCUGCAUCAGGCUGCAGGAGCCCCAGAGCAAGAGCCCAGCGAGCAGGGGCCCGGAGCUCCGCACUGAGGGGCCAAGAAGGAACUGGCUGGAUGCGGGGAUGUGGGAGAUGUUAGAAGCGAUGAGCUGCUGCUGGAGCUCAGGGCUGUUCUGCUGGGAGACGCUCCGCUAACAGGCCGCAGCCAUCAGGGAGAGCUCCCGGCCUGAGCGGAGCUCCGGGCCGCUUUAAAAGGACACGUUCGGCCGGAUCGAGGAGUUUGUGGCUUAAUGGGAGCUUUUUUAUUCGCAUUUUAAGACUGCGCAGCGAAGAGGGCCUUUCAUCCUGAGCUAGCAUAACAAGCUAACCGCACCGAAGUCAGCGUCUGAUUCGGAGCCUUUUUCUAAGAUCUGCAGAAAAUUUUAGCUUUAAACUCAUUUCCUCCGUUUGGACCAGAAAUGAUUUAAAACACGAGAUUUUAUCACCUCAACCUUUUAGUUAGUCUGAUCUGAUGGCGGCUUCACCUUUGAUUACCUGUCUAACCAAAGCAGGUGAAGGCUGACGUCACUGAGCGUUUAAUCUGGAUUACUGGGAAUAAAUCAGCCCGUAAAGGUUCCCUCUGCCUGACCUGCAGCAGCAGAGCAGCCUGUGGUUCUGCUGCUGGGUGUCAUAGAUUCUUCCUCUCAGUGACGCGGUUCUGCGUGGGUACCGGUACCUCAGCAGCGUGGGUCGGUCCUCUGAAUGGAUACAAUCAGCAUCUCCAUCUAUCUCCCUCAGCAUCAUGGAUCAUUCUAAAGGUUCCUGGAAGGCACUGAAUCGACUUUCCACCUGAUGAAACUCAGCAGAUGACCUGAACUCAUCACCAUCAGCAGAAACUUUUGUCUCACAUGGUAUUAGAUAAUCUAACCAGAAACCAGGAAUGAAAAACAUCUGGAAAGAAUAUUUUUAUUAUUUUUGUUCACAGAAUAAAAAAAUCUGAAAGUUAA